UGUUUGUGAAGAUGCAAUCGUCCCGCGGCUAGACGAAAGACCCCAUGAACCUUUACUGUAGCUUUGCAUUGGACUUUGACGGGACUUGUGUAGGAUAGGUGGGAGGCUUUGAAACCGGGACGCCAGUUCCGGUGGAGCCAACCUUGAAAUACCACCCUGGUGUCGUCGAGGUUCUAACCCAGGCCUGUGAAUCCAGGUCGGGGACCGUGCAUGGUGGGCAGUUUGACUGGGGCGGUCUCCUCCCAAAAGGUAACGGAGGAGUACGAAGGUCACCUAGGUACGGUCGGACAUCGUACUGAUAGUGCAAUGGCAAAAGGUGGCUUGACUGCGAGACCCACAAGUCGAGCAGGUGCGAAAGCAGGUCAUAGUGAUCCGGUGGUUCUGUAUGGAAGGGCCAUCGCUCAACGGAUAAAAAGGUACUCAGGGGG
RNAcentral lists this ribosomal RNA (428 nucleotides) under uncultured bacterium. RNAcentral describes it as "bacterial LSU rRNA". It matches the Rfam family "Bacterial large subunit ribosomal RNA", at positions 2048 to 2474 of the family's 2925-position model. The record is from RNAcentral.